CAGCAGCCGCCACGGUAAUACGAAGGGUGCAAGCGUUAAUCGGAAUUACUGGGCGUAAAGCGUGCGUAGGCGGUGAGUUAAGUCUGCUGUGAAAUCCCCGGGCUCAACCUGGGAAUUGCAGUGGAUACUGGGUCACUAGAGUGUGGUAGAGGAUAGUGGAAUUUCCGGUGUAGCAGUGAAAUGCGUAGAGAUCGGAAGGAACAUCUGUGGCGAAGGCGACUAUCUGGGCCAACACUGACACUGAGGCACGAAAGCGUGGGGAGCAAACAGGAUUAGAUACCCCCGUAGUCCCUGUCUCUUAUAC
RNAcentral lists this ribosomal RNA (304 nucleotides) under uncultured bacterium. RNAcentral describes it as "partial 16S ribosomal RNA". It matches the Rfam family "Bacterial small subunit ribosomal RNA", at positions 509 to 807 of the family's 1533-position model. The record is from RNAcentral.